Molecule: ribosomal RNA, 256 nt
Filed under: uncultured bacterium
Lineage: Bacteria
Description: partial 16S ribosomal RNA
Rfam family: Bacterial small subunit ribosomal RNA
Source: RNAcentral
GCAGCGAAGCCGCGAGGCGGAGCAAAAUCUCCAAAAAAAUGUCUCAGUUCAGAUUGCAGGCUGCAACUCGCCUGCAUGAAGUCGGAAUUGCUAGUAAUCGUAGGUCAGCAUACUACGGUGAAUACGUUCCCGGGCCUUGUACACACCGCCCGUCAAACCAUGAGAGUUGGCAACACCCGAAGUCGGUAGUCUAACCGCAAGGAGGACGCCGCCGAAGGUGGGGUCGAUGAUUAGGGUUAAGUCGUAACAAGGUAAC